This 257-nucleotide ribosomal RNA is filed under the name uncultured bacterium. Its description in RNAcentral is "partial 16S ribosomal RNA". It matches the Rfam family "Bacterial small subunit ribosomal RNA", at positions 1244 to 1500 of the family's 1533-position model. The record is from RNAcentral.
AAGAAGCGAAGCGGUGACGUGGAGCAAACCUCAGAAAGCCAAUCUCAGUUCGGAUUGUAGGCUGCAACUCGCCUACAUGAAGUUGGAAUCGCUAGUAAUCGCGAAUCAGAAUGUCGCGGUGAAUACGCUCCCGGGUCUUGUACACACCGCCCGUCACACCACGAGAGUUUACAACACCCGAAGUCAGUGGCCUAACCGCAAGGAGGGAGCUGCCUAAGGUGGGGUAGAUGAUUGGGGUGAAGUCGUAACAAGGUAGC